UCACGAACCAUCUUACCCCAACCUACUAUAUAUAAAUCGUACACUUGAUAUAUAAACCCUUAGACUCCCUUUCUGAUUCUAUUUUUAGCAUUUGAUAAAAUUCCAAUUCUGAUUGGAUCCUGCCCCACCGCGGCACUUUAUUACGUCACAGUCGAUUGCAAACAAAGAAAGCACGAAUCGGAAAUGUGGCCAACGUAGCGUGACGGUCGUUAGACGAACAACCGACCCGCCCAUACGUUUGUAUGUAAGCUGGGCUACAAAAUGGCGUCGCCCAAAAUCAGCAAUAAAAACGAUAAACAUAAUAAGUAACAAAAUAUUGCAGAUGAAGUGCACCAAACGCGUAACCGAUAAAAAUCAAGUCAAACGAAAAGCGUUUUAUAAAAUAUAUAUUUAUUUUACGUAAAAUGUUGUAAACCGUCUUUGCAAACAAGCAAUAAAUGAAAUAAUGGUUUUGACAUUAACGUGAGUAUGUUUUUUUUACAUAACUUCACGUAACGACGUUUCGACGUCAUAUACAGAGUUGUCUUUCAGGGUGAAAUGGCACUUACCAAAGUAAAAUAGAACAAUGUAUAUAUUCUGUUAUUAAGUUUUAUUAUUGUUUUUAUGUUUUAUUUGGGGGUUUCGGUAUAUUUAAAAUGAAGUGGUAAAUUAAUUACAAUCGAAAUGUGUACGCCUAUAAAAGGUCUUGUCCUAAACUUUUUAUACAAUGUGCUUUUAUCCAGUCAACAAUACGAUGUUAUGUGCUCCAGUCGAUGCUACAAUUGUUACAAUAUGUAGUAUAUGACGUAACAAUGCACAUUGUUAACAAUAAUCUUUUAAAGCCGAUCGCAUUUUCAAUGCCUAGCCCAUAUAAUAGGCACGCGCUGAGCCAAUUUGUAAAGCCUUUAUUAGCGAUAAACAAAAAUGACAAGAGCCACAUAAUGCUGAUUGUUCGAAUUCAAUAACCGAUUGUCUUGAUCAAGGCAAGACAUCUUUUAUGCUUAUUGUGAAAUAAUGGACAUUCAACACUAACAAUAUAUACACACGUUUGUCUUCUAUUCCUUAUUUCCGAGCCCACAGUCGUGGUAGUAGUGCGAUACAGCUAUGCAGUAAUCGUUAUAUAUUCAUGGUAUAUACGGUUUCAGCUAAUUACAGAACACCAAUGAAGUAAGACAGUUCAAUGAAAUUAAGCAACGAUAGAUAUGUACGAGCACCGAACCCGGAGCAUGACAGCGCCACACCGAACAGGUGAGCGGGUCAGACUGUGUGUUGCUUCAUUACAAACAACAACACGCAGAGUUAAAUCAUUAUGAGGUUAAGAAGUGUCUUCGCCAAACAGUAAAACAAAAACAAGCAAACACCGAACGUCUGCGCGAGACCUGGACUGAACAAAUUUAAACUCUCGGCCGAGAAUUUGUGUCAUGAAAUAGCUGUGUUUUGCCAGGAGGUUGCCGCGCGAGUGUUAGCUUUUCGUCUUAAGGUGCAUCUCCCAAACUGGGACGGCUCGAUUUCAUGUUCGAAAAUGAUAACGUCCAUUGUCCUCUGUAACAAUAGAAUCGUUCUAAAUAACGAUAGCGACUUUAGCUUAUCUAUGCUGGAACACUACGCUGGAUCUAAUGUCCAGUAGCGAGUUUUCUAAUUCAGGUUAACGGCUUCAGUUCCUGUGAUAAGUAACGAGUCUGAUAUUAAUUUUUGCUUCGUAAAUUUCAAAUUUCAAUACAUACAGACUUACGAUGAACCAAACUGCUAUAAUAGAUGAUGGUCUAUGUUUUAUUUUAUCACCCCAUUUAAUAGUAAACAAAGAAUAUUUAAAGAAUUGUAAAACCGUAUCCUUACUAUGGAACGGUAUGCUAACGGUAUCCAUCUUACACCACAGUACUAUAAACCAACAUAAACCUCUGUUUUGAACAGUUAAGCAAAAACAAUUUUCACAUUUUCGGUGCCUUUGUAGCAUCCAUAGUUUUGUAAUGUUUAGAAAACGACAUUUCUCCUAAACCGGUUUGGAUUGGUUGUACUAACAUGAUGUCCCUUCAAGACAACAAAUGUAAUAGCUGAUGUCUUUGCGGUAUACGGUUUGAUGGCAUGAGGUAAUGUCUGUUUUCAAUCCCCCAAUAUGGGUAAAUAACCGGCCAUAACAGCCGAAGCAUGAAUUGCAAGCACAUAUAGCGUGAUAUGGGCCAAUACAUGAAUACCAUUCGCUGUAUUUCAUUUUCACGGACAGUCAGUAAUACGGAAGCAUCGUAUACCCACGUCUGAAUCAUUGGGUAUGAGGAGUGUCGUCUCACGACACGGACAUUAGUCACCUGGGUUUUAUUAAACUAUCGCUGCUUCAGAACUAUAGGGUAAACUUUGAAGUCUGGUUGUAUGUUACCCCGCACCCCGCAAUUGGUAUCGUUUACAUCAUUCAUUGAAUGCAAAAUCUAAUGUUUUAUUCAUUGCUGAUUGACUGACAAAACUACAACCAUUGAUAAUGGGACAAGUAAGGAUUAAUGGUAUUACAUUAUUAAUGGUAAUGAUACGGUUUGCUGAGACCGGCGACUCGUGCAAGGACCUUUAUUAAGGAUUUUAUUAGGUGCUAAACGAGGUGGAAUUUGGUAUUGGUUUUGUCAAACGGUAAGGGGAAUUUCGUUCAGAAAACUAAACAAGUUUUAGCCUUUUAUAAAUGAUGUGACAUAAGAACUGUGGUGGGCCAGGAUGGAGACCUUUAGCACAUAAUCCAAUAUAUUUUCUAACCGUGUUUUAACAAUUAACAACGCUCUUUUAGAGUCCUGAGGAUACGGUUAUGAUAAAAGCAAAACACGGACCAUUUUAUCACAACUUACAAUAACGAGUUUAAAUCAAUUAAAACACGAGACAGGAGAAAUUCUACACGACUUCAAAAUGUAACAUAACCAAAACUAUAGUACAGUCAGCCUGGCCUACGUAGGUUUUUGUA
Ciona intestinalis (vase tunicate) is the source of this 2914-nucleotide non-coding RNA. The record is from RefSeq and is a predicted model, not a curated record. NCBI's taxonomy places the organism in Eukaryota, Metazoa, Chordata, Ascidiacea, Phlebobranchia, Cionidae.